Molecule: non-coding RNA, 883 nt
Filed under: Mammilla mammata
Lineage: Eukaryota; Metazoa; Mollusca; Gastropoda; Littorinimorpha; Naticidae
Source: RNAcentral
UACAAGCUUGGCUCUGACUUAUAAAUAUAAUAAUAGCGAAGGAACAACACAUGGUUUUUAUAGAAAGUGGUGAGAUUAAAAGUAUAAAUAAUCUGAGAUGGAAAAUCAAAUACUAUUUAUCUUUUAGAGUAUUAUAAUGUAAAUGAUCCUAAGAUCGUACCACUAUACACCAGUGUUUAAUAUUAAUUAAAGAAGUGAAAACUUGCCUUAGAUUAGCUAGCAGAUUUGGUUAAUUUGGUGCCAGCAUCCGCGGUUAGACCAAAGAAUCAAGUUAUAUAAUAUAGGUAAAAAGAUAGUUAAGCAAAAUCGAUAUUAGUUAUAAGAUUUUUUAUUUAAAGGUAAAAUUUGAAUAUAAAAAAAUAUUUUAAUCAAAACUUUUAUGCUGAAGCUAUGAAAAUUUAGGGAUAAACUAGGAUUAGAUGCCCUAUUAUUCUAAAUUAUAAAUUGAUGUAAAUAUUUACCAGAGUAUUACGAGUUAAAAACUUAAAACUCAAAGGGCUUGGCGGUACUUCAUACCCUUUAGGGGAACCUGUCUCAUAAUCGAUAAUCCACGUUACACCUUACCUUUUUUAGUAAUCAGUUUGUAUACCGUCGUCGUUCAGGCAACUUCUAAAAAUAUAAAAGUUGACAAGAAAGAAUGAUAAUCUUAGACGUCAGAUCAAGGUGCAGCCAAUAUAAAGGAGAGGAUGGGUUACAAUUAAAAAUUAUAACUACGGAGUAGAAAAUUAAAUAUCUCUAUUUGAAGGAGGACUUAAAAGUAAAAUUAUAUAUAUAAAUUUUUUGAAUACGGCUCUGAAGUGUGCACACAUCGCCCGUCGCUCUCGUUGAAAAAUGAGAUAAGUCGUAACAUAGUAGGGGUAAUGGAAAUUGUUCCUGGAUGAAA